AAUUGGUCUAUUUAAAAGUAAAACAAUAUUUUAAAAUAAUUUUUGUUUGCAAUGCAAAAAUCAAUAUAAAUCUUGUGACGCGCGGUGUUCAACUUUAGUCAGCGCCAAGCGCUUACAGAGGAAGGACGUAUCGCUCACUGUUGCGCCGCGUAAACUCGCCGGAGGUCGAAAAAUAUAGCGCAACCUGCGCAACUAACACGUUUUGAUACUAGAUAAUGAAAGCAUAUUUAAUUCAGACUAUCAGACUCAAUUGAAUACCAGUACAAAUAAUAUGGAAAAUGAAGAUACAAUACAUGGAAGACGAAUUAUAGAUUUUAAUUUUUUUUAUCAAUCA
Molecule: long non-coding RNA, 334 nt
Filed under: Helicoverpa zea (corn earworm)
Lineage: Eukaryota; Metazoa; Arthropoda; Insecta; Lepidoptera; Noctuidae
Description: uncharacterized LOC124642769
Source: RNAcentral